Non-coding RNA from Paramuricea clavata, 107 nucleotides. The record is from the annotation of a GenBank genome assembly. NCBI's taxonomy places the organism in Eukaryota, Metazoa, Cnidaria, Anthozoa, Malacalcyonacea, Plexauridae.
UGAAAAAUGGAAAAAGUCGCUGAAAAUGGACAAAAAUUAAAGGCUAUAGCCUUUACUUUUUGUCCAUUUUUGGCGACUUUUUUCAUUUUUCAUGACAAUGGACGAAA